This 27-nucleotide non-coding RNA is filed under the name Rattus norvegicus (Norway rat). Lineage: Eukaryota; Metazoa; Chordata; Mammalia; Rodentia; Muridae. The record is from RNAcentral.
UAGGAUAGGUGGGACCAAGUAGAGGCA